RNAcentral lists this ribosomal RNA (483 nucleotides) under uncultured bacterium. RNAcentral describes it as "bacterial SSU rRNA". It matches the Rfam family "Bacterial small subunit ribosomal RNA", at positions 28 to 494 of the family's 1533-position model. The record is from RNAcentral.
GAUGAACGCUGGCGGCGUGCCUAACACAUGCAAGUCGAGCGAGGGUUUGCUCAGUAUUGAGUAUUCUAAGUCUAGAAUGUUCAAUUCUGAGCAAAACCAAGCGGCGGACGGGUGAGUAACGCGUGGGUAACCUGCCCUAUACACAUGGAUAACAUACUGAAAGUUUACUAAUACAUGAUAAUAUAUAUUUGCGGCAUCGCAGAUAUAUCAAAGUGUUAGCGGUAUAGGAUGGACCCGCGUCUGAUUAGCUAGUUGGUGAGAUAACUGCCCACCAAGGCGACGAUCAGUAGCCGACCCGAGAGGGUGAUCGGCCACAUUGGAACUGAGACACGGUCCAAACUCCUACGGGAGGCAGCAGUGGGAAGUAAUUGCACAAAUGGGCGAAAGCCUGAUGCAGCAACGCCGCGUGAACGAUGAAGGUCUUCGGAUCGUAAAGUUCUGUUGCAAGGGGAAGAUAAUGACGGUACCCUGUGAGGAAGCCCC